This 1698-nucleotide unclassified non-coding RNA is filed under the name Hevea brasiliensis (rubber tree). Lineage: Eukaryota; Viridiplantae; Streptophyta; Magnoliopsida; Malpighiales; Euphorbiaceae. The record is from RNAcentral.
AGUUUACCUUGGAAUGCUCAAGGUUCCAUGCCAAACAAACGUUGUAGAAUGGCCAUGUCUUACAGCAACCAAGAUGAAUAAAGAAAUACCCAGAAAAAAUCAGAAAUUCAAUGCACAAGUACUAAUUUUGAAAGAUAAAUUUAACAGUGAAAAAAAAUCAAAAAUAAGAUUCAUUUCAUGUUAAUUUAAGACAAAUUAAAUUAAUGAACAGUGGGGUUCUUGUCUAAUGGUCUAAAUGUCGUAGGUGAAGAAGCCAAUGGGAGUACCUGAGAUGAGCUUGAAGGAUAAUGUGGGAGAUUAUGAAAAAGAUCUCUUUCCUUGUUUUUACUAACAAUGAAGCCCAGGAAAGAACCCUCUGUCUCCUCUGUUAUCAUUGAUGAAUUAGAAGUUUCAACCCAAGAAUCUUGAGCAGAAGUACUGGUUUUAGCUGCCCUUUUUCCAGCUUCUUCCAUUAGUCUUCUAAACAGUUUUUCCUCUGCAUCCCUCAAGAACUUGAAUUUUGGAGGUGGUGAAGAUCUCAGCCUGCUAAUCUCUGCCUCCAUUGAUUCAUAGAGAGGAUUGAAUCCACAGCGAUGAUAAGAAUCCAAAGGAUUUAAGGGAGACAUUAAAUGUGGAGAAGCUAAAGGGGUAAGGAACGGGGUGUCAACAGCCACUGUAAGAUCACUCAAACUUUUUGUUCUUGACCCUUUUCUGCUCCUAUCACCCUUUGAUUUCCCAUCUUCAGACUCCAAAUCCUCCUUUGUUUCCUCGUUGAUUGUGAAGAGAAAUCUUGGUGGGCCUGCGAGAUUGUGUAGCCUCAUGAGCUCUGAUUCUACACUUUCUUCAUCAAAAGCCGUUAGAAGCAAAUCCUUGCUUCUGCCUAAUUCCAAGUCUGGUUCUUGGCUAUAAGCUUCUGGGUCUCUCACUCUAUCUUGAAUGGUGUUGUCAAUUUGCGAAGAGGAGGAUUUCUUCCAGCAGAUUAAGUGAAAGAAUUCCUUUGCAUAGUUGCUGCUAUUAUCAUCAUCUUCAACUUCUCUGUUGGUGAUUUUCUUCUUCCACCAUAGCAAAUAGUAGAGCUCUGCAACAAGUGCUAAAAGAAGGAAACCAAAGACUGCGCUCAAACCAAUUCCUAACCCACUGAAAAAUACCAUCUUUGGCAGAAAAUUCAAAUUCCCAGAACAACUAAUCUAGAUCUUAAUGCUCUAGUACAAAUUUCUCCCCUCCCUUUACCAGUGAAUUUCACUGAGAACCAACCCAUCAAUGAGCUAAUAUAACAAGCAUCUAUUCUGCAAGCAAACACAAACACUCCAAAAAAAGACAAAGGAAAAACAAGGAGAGUCCUAAAGAAAAUAACCCAAUUAAGGAACCAAAAUCCUCCACUAAGGUAAGAUUUUACAUUCUCAAAAAUCCAAAAGCAAAGGCAUAUAAUGAGAAAGCAAGACAAAGGGCCAUAGAUAUGUUGCCUAAAACAUACGCUAUAAGCUAGGAAUCCGGGUAAGGUUUCUGGGAAAUUAGUGGAGAAAAAGACUUGCCUUAAAAGUAGAAAGAAGAACAAAAACUAAAGCGCACCCAUCCAAGCACCAUAAACAGUUCUAUUAGAGACAGAGCAAAGUUCUGCACAUAAAUGGGGCCAUGGGCAAAUCUUACACAAUGCUUUGGUUGUGUUAGGAAUUUGGUUGGAAAGGCAGCUCACACAGCCAUGGUAUGUUGCAAAACAGC